This 253-nucleotide ribosomal RNA is filed under the name uncultured bacterium. RNAcentral's name for it is "partial 16S ribosomal RNA". It matches the Rfam family "Bacterial small subunit ribosomal RNA", at positions 524 to 776 of the family's 1533-position model. The record is from RNAcentral.
UACAGAGGGUGCUAGCGUUGUUCGGAAUUACUGGGCGUAAAGGGCGCGUAGGCGGUACUUCAAGUCAGGCGUGAAAGCCCCGGGCUCAACCUGGGAACCGCGCUUGAGACUGGAGAACUAGAGUUCGGGAGAGGAUGGUGGAAUUCCCAGUGUAGAGGUGAAAUUCGUAGAUAUUGGGAAGAACACCGAUGGCGAAGGCAGCCAUCUGGACCGACACUGACGCUGAGGCGCGAAAGCGUGGGGAGCAAACAGG